Molecule: small nuclear RNA, 183 nt
Organism: Colossoma macropomum (tambaqui)
Lineage: Eukaryota; Metazoa; Chordata; Actinopteri; Characiformes; Serrasalmidae
Product: U2 spliceosomal RNA
Exons: 1
Source: RefSeq, a predicted model, not a curated record
UUCGCUUCUCUGCCUUUCGGCUAAGAUCAAGCGAUAGUAUCAGGUUUAAUAUCCGAUACGUCCUCUAUACAAGGACGACAUAUUAAAUUGAUUUUUAGAACAGGGAGACGGAAGAGGGGCUUGCUCUGUCUGCUCCAUGCAUCAACCUGGUAUUGCAGUACCUCCGGGAACAGUGCACCUCUU